Molecule: small RNA, 107 nt
Filed under: Lutibacter sp.
Lineage: Bacteria; Pseudomonadati; Bacteroidota; Flavobacteriia; Flavobacteriales; Flavobacteriaceae
Description: 6S RNA
Rfam family: 6S-Flavo RNA
Source: RNAcentral
ACUCAACAUUAUACCUUUAUAAAGGGUGAGUCUUAAUUGUAAAAGCAAGCCGUCUAGAACGGAUCCUUGACCAAUUAGUUAACCCUAAUCUUGUCUUAAAGGAGUUU